RNAcentral lists this ribosomal RNA (497 nucleotides) under uncultured bacterium. RNAcentral's name for it is "partial 16S ribosomal RNA". It matches the Rfam family "Bacterial small subunit ribosomal RNA", at positions 355 to 844 of the family's 1533-position model. The record is from RNAcentral.
UAGGGAAUCUUCCACAAUGGACGCAAGUCUGAUGGAGCAACGCCGCGUGAGUGAAGAAGGUUUUCGGACCGUAAAGCUCUGUUGUUGGUGAAGAAGGAUAGAGGUAGUAACUGGCCUUUAUUUGACGGUAAUCAACCAGAAAGUCACGGCUAACUACGUGCCAGCAGCCGCGGUAAUACGUAGGUGGCAAGCGUUGUCCGGAUUUAUUGGGCGUAAAGCGAGCGCAGGCGGAAGAAUAAGUCUGAUGUGAAAGCCCUCGGCUUAACCGAGGAAUUGCAUCGGAAACUGUUUUCUUGAGUGCAGAAGAGGAGAGUAGAACUCCAUGUGUAGCGGUGGAAUGCGUAGAUAUAUGGAAGAAUACCAGUGGCGAAGGCGGCUCUCUGGUCUGCAACUGACGCUGAGGCUCGAAAGCAUGGGUAGCGAACAGGAUUAGAUACCCUGGUAGUCCAUGCCGUAAACGAUGAGUGCUAAGUGUUGGGAGGCUUCCGCCUCUCAGU